Molecule: ribosomal RNA, 459 nt
Filed under: uncultured bacterium
Lineage: Bacteria
Description: partial 16S ribosomal RNA
Rfam family: Bacterial small subunit ribosomal RNA
Source: RNAcentral
CCUACGGGUGGCUGCAGUGAGGAAUAUUGGUCAAUGGACGAGAGUCUGAACCAGCCAAGUAGCGUGAAGGAUGACUGCCCUAUGGGUUGUAAACUUCUUUUAUAAAGGCAUAAAACGAGGCACGUGUGCCUUUUUGCAUGUACUUUAUGAAUAAGGAUCGGCUAACUCCGUGCCAGCAGCCGCGGUAAUACGGAGGAUGCGAGCUGUAUCAGGAUUUAUUGGGUUUAAAUGGUGCGUAGACGGGCUAUUAAGUAAGCGGUAAAAAUUCGGGGCUCAACCCCGUCCGGUCGUUGAAACUGGGGGCCUUGAGUGGGCGAGAAGAAGGCGGAAUGCGUGGUGUAGCGGUGAAAUGCAUAGAUAUCACGCAGAACCCCGAUUGCGAAGGCAGCCUUCCGGCGCCCUACUGACGCUGAGGCACGAAAGUGCGGGGAUCGAACAGGAUUAGAUACCCCUGUAGUC